GACGAACGCUGGCGGCGUGCUUAACACAUGCAAGUCGAACGGAAAGGCCCUGCUUUUGUGGGGUGCUCGAGUGGCGAACGGGUGAGUAACACGUGAGUAACCUGCCCUCGACUUUGGGAUAACUUCAGGAAACUGGGGCUAAUACCGGAUAGGAGCUCCUGCUGCAUGGUGGGGGUUGGAAAGUUUCGGCGGUUGGGGAUGGACUCGCGGCUUAUCAGCUUGUUGGUGGGGUAGUGGCUUACCAAGGCUUUGACGGGUAGCCGGCCUGAGAGGGUGACCGGCCACAUUGGGACUGAGAUACGGCCCCGACUCCUACGGGAGGCAGCAGUGGGGAAUAUUGCACAAUGGGCGGAAGCCUGAUGCAGCAACGCCGCGUGCGGGAUGACGGCCUUCGGGUUGUAAACCGCUUUCGCCUGUGACGAAGCGUGAGUGACGGUAAUGGGUAAAGAAGCACCGGCUAACUACGUG
RNAcentral lists this ribosomal RNA (468 nucleotides) under uncultured bacterium. Its description in RNAcentral is "partial 16S ribosomal RNA". It matches the Rfam family "Bacterial small subunit ribosomal RNA", at positions 28 to 507 of the family's 1533-position model. The record is from RNAcentral.